CCAAGGAGUCUAACAUGUGCGCGAGUCAUUGGGACUUGUAUAUGCCCAAAGGCGAAAUGAAAGUGAAGGACGGCCCCAGCCGUCCGAGUUGGGACCCCGCGUCACUUGUUACAGGUGUAUGGGGGCACCAACGACCCGUCCCGUCCGCAGCGUCGGUGGGGCGGAGUGUGAGCGUACACGUUGGGACCCGAAAGAUGGUGAACUAUGCCUGGGCAGGACGAAGCCAGAGGAAACUCUGGUGGAGGUCCGUAGCGAUUCUGACGUGCAAAUCGAUCGUCAGACCCGGGUAUAGGGGCGAAAGACUAAUCGAACCAUCUAGUAGCUGGUUCCCUCCGAAGUUUCCCUCAGGAUAGCUGGCACUCGUGUGGGAAUCAGUCUCAUCCGGUAAAGCGAAUGAUUAGAGGCCUUGGGGCCGAAACGACCUCAACCUAUUCUCAAACUUUAAAGGGGUGAGAAGUCCGGCUUGCACGACUGAAGCUCGGACGACACAGGAUGAGAGUGCCCAGUGGGCCACUUUU
RNAcentral lists this ribosomal RNA (518 nucleotides) under Charinus reddelli. RNAcentral describes it as "partial large subunit ribosomal RNA". It matches the Rfam family "Eukaryotic large subunit ribosomal RNA", at positions 666 to 1138 of the family's 3401-position model. The record is from RNAcentral. Lineage: Eukaryota; Metazoa; Arthropoda; Arachnida; Amblypygi; Charinidae.